GGUUAAGCGACUAAGCGUACACGGUGGAUGCCCUGGCAGUCAGAGGCGAUGAAGGACGUGCUAAUCUGCGAUAAGCGUCGGUGAGGUGAUAUGAACCGUUAUAACCGGCGAUUUCCGAAUGGGGAAACCCAGUGUGUUUCGACACACUAUCAUUAACUGAAUCCAUAGGUUAAU
RNAcentral lists this ribosomal RNA (174 nucleotides) under Escherichia coli. Its description in RNAcentral is "partial 23S ribosomal RNA". It matches the Rfam family "Bacterial large subunit ribosomal RNA", at positions 1 to 175 of the family's 2925-position model. Lineage: Bacteria; Pseudomonadati; Pseudomonadota; Gammaproteobacteria; Enterobacterales; Enterobacteriaceae. The record is from RNAcentral.